ACAACACGGGUCGAAGUACAAAGCCUCAGACGAACUGUAGACUCUCCACUUCGAUGCAGCCAAGGACGUUGGUUCUCCAUCUCAUCUCCACCCAAAAUCCAGGUCUUCUCCUCUCCAAAUACUAGAAACUCAUCUCCGGAGUGAUUCCACCGGCGACGCUCGAUAUCAGUCCUCGCCGAACCUUGUCAUCUCCUUAGUCCUCCUCACUGCUGCCGUUUGGGUUCCACGAUGACGCGGUCAACGGAGCUCAUCAUCGGUGAAGACCCCGAUGAAGGUCCCCAAGUCGCCGUAAAAGGUGACUCCUGCUGUGAAGAGCCUUCAGCAAAAGUCCAAUUCAUUGUUCUCUUAUGAGUUAUGAGCUUCAAGAGAUUGUCCAUGUUAAGGCAGAGAUCAGUAGUUAUCACGGACGUCCUCUUUGGGAUUUUUCAGAUUUCAUAUUUCAGAUUUUGAGGGUUAUGGAUUUUGUGGUGUGUGUGAUUUUUCAGGUUUUGGAUUUGCAAGAUGAUUUCAGUUAAUGUCUGAGGAUAGUUGUUCAUCAUCUCAUUUCGUAGAAUAAUGUCUCAAACAGAUUAGUUAACUACCAGAAAACAUGCUCUCUAAGGUAAACAUUUGAAGGACAAGAAAAAUGGCCACUACCUUCAUCAUAGACAUGGUCACAAUCAUUACUCAGUAGAGGAGAAAGAUCACCAUCAUCGGGAUUCAGUUAAGCACAUCAAAGACCACAGUAGAAAUGGAACUGAUAACAUUAAUGAUGGUCCUGAUGAUCAGAAUGUGUAGAUGAUCUUAUAGGACGCAGAGUUCAUUCCCUGGUUUGGUCUUGUUUACAUUGAUUCUUAAUUGUUGGGAGGGAUGUCCUCUUUCCUCCAUUUGUACCUUAAACUUCUAUUGAAUUAAGAGGCCUGGCCUUUUUUAACAUUCCCAAUUAUGAAUUGAUAUCUGAAAAUUCUGCUAUGUGAGGUUGUUUUGUGAUCAGUUUAGAGAAAAGAAAAAGUACAAAAAGAAAGGAGGUUCUCAGCA
Rosa chinensis is the source of this 1017-nucleotide long non-coding RNA. RefSeq lists it as uncharacterized. Lineage: Eukaryota; Viridiplantae; Streptophyta; Magnoliopsida; Rosales; Rosaceae. The record is from RefSeq and is a predicted model, not a curated record. The transcript is spliced from 3 exons.